This 506-nucleotide ribosomal RNA is filed under the name uncultured bacterium. Its description in RNAcentral is "partial 16S ribosomal RNA". It matches the Rfam family "Bacterial small subunit ribosomal RNA", at positions 29 to 523 of the family's 1533-position model. The record is from RNAcentral.
AGUGAACGCUGGCGGUAGGCCUAACACAUGCAAGUCGAACGGCAGCACAGGAGAGCUUGCUCUCUGGGUGGCGAGUGGCGGACGGGUGAGGAAUACAUCGGAAUCUACUCUGUCGUGGGGGAUAACGUAGGGAAACUUACGCUAAUACCGCAUACGACCUACGGGUGAAAGCAGGGGACCUUCGGGCCUUGCGCGAUUGAAUGAGCCGAUGUCGGAUUAGCUAGUUGGCGGGGUAAAGGCCCACCAAGGCGACGGUCCGUAGCUGGUCUGAGAGGAUGAUAAGCCACACUGGAACUGAGACACGGUCCAGACUCCUACGGGGGGCAGCAGUGGGGAAUAUUGGACAAUGGGCGCAAGCCUGAUUCAGCCAUACCGCGUGGGUGAAGAAGGCCUUCGGGUUGUAAAGCCCUUUUGUUGGGAAAGAAAUCCAGCUGGCUAAUACCCGGUUGGGAUGACGGUACCCAAAGAAUAAGCACCGGCUAACUUCGUGCCAGCCGCCGCCGUAA